CCUGCGGAGGCAGCAGUGGGGAAUAUUGCACAAUGGGGGGAACCCUGAUGCAGCGACGCCGCGUGAGUGAAGAAGUAUUUCGGUAUGUAAAGCUCUAUCAGCAGGGAAGAAAAUGACGGUACCUGACUAAGAAGCCCCGGCUAACUACGUGCCAGCAGCCGCGGUAAUACGUAGGGGGCAAGCGUUAUCCGGAUUUACUGGGUGUAAAGGGAGCGUAGACGGCGAUGCAAGUCAGAGGUGAAAGCCCGCGGCUCAACUGCGGGACUGCUUUUGAAACUGUAUAGCUUGAGUGCAGGAGAGGUAAG
RNAcentral lists this ribosomal RNA (305 nucleotides) under uncultured bacterium. RNAcentral's name for it is "bacterial SSU rRNA". It matches the Rfam family "Bacterial small subunit ribosomal RNA", at positions 338 to 661 of the family's 1533-position model. The record is from RNAcentral.